GUGUCAGUACGGCUCGUGACUUGGCCGCGGCGAGAGCACGAGUUUCCGCGUGUGGUUCGGGAUCGGGAAUGCCGUCGGCGUUCCGGGAACCGCGAGUGCCGUCGGGCGCGAACCUCGAUCCCGCGGCAGGGCCGGUGUCGCGUUGACGAGCUCCGAAAGAGCCGAGUGCGCGGGGGUCGGGGGCAGACGAGAAGCGUGCCGGCCCCUCGAGUCGACCACCUGGAUAGAGCAACCGCUCCAGGCGGAGGUCGCGCCGAGUUCCCGCGGACGCGGCACCGGGCAUCGAGCGCCGUCGCCCGUUCCGCGGCGACGGCGGCACCUGCGAGGACGCGGGCCACACCGCCGGUGCGUUAGCGCGGCGUCUGCGAGGAAAUCGAGAUGGUGGAGUUGAGCGGAAGCGGGCAAGCGGCGGCGGCCGCCGCAACGGCGGCGACGGCGACGUCGACGUCGUCGCAGCCCUCGGGGUCGCAGGCGGCGACGGGGGCGGCGGGACGCGCCGGCGUCCUGGAGACGCAGGUGCGCGGCCAGUGGUACCGGGUCUUUGUCUCCCUCGAGGACGACUACCUCAGCAUCUCCCUCGACGAGAGCUGCGAGGACGCCGGCCCGCUCAACGGCAACGCCAACAACAACGACAUCGACUGCCUCAACGACCCCGACGUGCCCGACUCGGUCGCCAACCAGAAGCGGGUCGUCCGGGUCGUCAAGAGCGACAACAACGGCCUCGGGAUCUCCAUCAAGGGCGGCAAAGAGAACAAGAUGCCCAUCCUCAUUUCCAAGAUCUUCAAGGGCCUCUCGGCCGACCUCACCGAGCAGCUCUACGUGGGCGACGCCAUCCUCGCGGUAAACGGCGAGGACCUCCGCGAGGCCACCCACGACGAGGCCGUCAAGGCCCUGAAGAGGGCCGGCAAGGUCGUCGAGCUCGAAGUGAAGUAUCUGAGGGAGGUGACGCCGUACUUCCGGAAGGCCUCGAUCAUCCAGGAAGUUGGAUGGGAACUGCAGCGAGGGUUCCUCAGCGCCACCCCGCCACCCCCCAAGUCACCCCCCAGGGCGGACACGCGGUACUUGCCCCUGCAGCUCUGCAGGCUCAUGAGAGCGCAUCCUUCCACGGACCCCGAGGGCCGCAUUUUGGAGCUUCACUCGCCCGAUGGGGUGCACGAGUGCUUGCUGAGAGCGGCUGACAGCGUCGAGGCGAACGUCUGGUUCAACGCGCUGCAUUCCGCCCUGGCGGCACUCACCCUCAAAGCUCUGCGAUUGGCGUCCGCGCUGCUGGACCCUCUCAAACUGCAGCACAUCGGCUGGCUCGCCAGGAGACACUGCAUUCAGAACGGCAGAGCGAGCAGCGAGAGCAGCGAAGACGGGGCCGGAAGUAGCGCCAGCACUUCCAGGGGGGCCGGAAGUGGAUUCGGCCUGGGGUGCACCGGGGGAUGGCGCAGCGUAUUUGGGGCCGUUUCCGGUCGCGAAUUGAGGCUCUACGAGUGCGCACCCUGGAGCCCCGAAGCUUGGGCGUCUCCCAGCAUCACCUGUCCCCUGAUCGCCACAAGGCUCGUCUCCUCGCCCAGCAGGCAGAACGAAGCACCAGGGAGCAGCAACGCCGGGGUCCAGCACGGUGCCACCUUCGCGGUCCGGGUCGGGACUAUCAAUGGCGUUAUCACGCAUCACCUGCGAGCGGAAACGCGUCGCGAUCUGGCCGCAUGGGCGCGGGCGAUCGUGCAAGGUUGUCACGCCGCGGCGUACUCGAUUCGCGAGUACACCGUCCGAUGCGUCUGGCAAGGCAGGUCCUGUCAGUUGAUAAUAAACCACGAAGACGGAUUCACAUUAUACGCCGCCGGGACGCGCGGCGUCACAGGAAACGGCGAAAGUCCUGGAUCUCCACCGACGCCUCUUUGGAGAAGACCCUUCGACAAACUCAAAAUGUCCGCCGAUGACGGAGCGAGACUCCUUUGGCUCGAAUUCGGCGGGGACGACGGAGAAAUUGAGCUGGACCUGGAGAGCUGUCCGAAGCCGGUGGUGUUCGUGCUGCACAAUUUCCUGUCCGCGAAGAUACACCGAUUAGGAUUGUCCGCAUAGGGGUACGAGGGGGCCCCGCCGGAGGCCCCCGAUUUGCCACCGCACACCACCAGGACCGGGAGAGGCCCGUCGACGAGCGGAUCCUCGAGGACGACCGUGCCCGGAAGCGGACGUUGACAGGAGCCAACGAGCGGCUCCGAGAAUCGGCGGGAUCCUUCGAUACCCUCGGAAAGCGCCCAAAAGAGAGCCAACGACUUUAACUUAAGAAAGUAUAGCGACUAUCGACGAGGAAGCGCGGCGACGACCGACUCGAAGCCAUCCACCCUGAACGAUUUCCGAAAAGAAUAAAAAAAAUAAGAAAACCGAGCGCCGAGGGGGGGUGGGGGCGGAAAAAAUUCGCGAUUUCUCCCCCGGCGAAACAUUCCCGAACUGGACAUCGAGGCGCUCGGAAUCGCUAUUAAUCAACGCGCCUAAUUAACUAACUAACGAAGCGAGCACGCGAAGCCGUCGGGCAGGGAGAUAGAGAGAUACCCAGAUUAUCGCUAAAUAUUAACGAAUUAUUACCGUAUAAAUAACGAUUGCGCAUUUGCAUGAUAACUGUAUCGGAGACACCGGGAGAUGGUAAACUCGACGAUUUAGCGGCUAAUUUAUUAUCGUCGGCGAUCCUUGCUGGUCCUGAUGCGAAGAAGCGUUCUCCAAGAUGGCGACCGACUCGCGCCGAGUCUUCGCGACCGCCGACGCUUUUUAAGCCCUGAUGUCGUCGCGAAACGUUCGGGAAAUCGAACGAUCGACUUCGGGAGCUCGUAUCGAAGGACCAGCGAGACGCUUAUAGUUGUUUUAUACAGUUCGUAUCCUUACACGAAGUAACGUAACGCAAAGUGUCGCGGGACGCUCUUAGCUCCGCCAUGACUCGUACUUGCGCAGGGACGCCGCGGUUUCGCGAUGGACUCCAAGGCCCGAAAAAACAGGGCGAGAAUUAUGUCGCCGGGGAUAUUAAUUUGCGAUUCCAUUACGGGUUAUGAAAACGGAGAAAGGAAUUAUCGAGACCGCUCCCUCUCUUGUGCAUAAUUGAGAAAAAAAAAUAAAAUAACGAUCGUUUCGUGGCUCUUAAAGAACUUGGGGGCUAAUCGUUAAUGGCAAAUGUUCCUUUGGGAUGGGGUGGAGAUGUCCUGGAUAUUUAAUUUAAAAAAUGGAAACGAGGUCGGAACUUCGGGGUCCAUCGCGAAGCAAUGAUACUAACCGAUACUAACUCGGCGGUGCGAGACGACGCGUCGCGGGAAUAACGCGGCGUUAAUAUUAACCCGACUAUCCGUUAACGAACGGCAGAAGAGGAGCUAAAGUAAAAAAACCUAUUCAUAAGACAUUCGGUGUGUGUAUAAAUUAACGGUGGAAGAGGGCUGUCGGAAUUUAGGAGUAUCAGCGCCGUUCUCCCGGACUUCAGAACGCGGCGGGUGGCGUACAAUAAAUAAGGAUUAGUAGAGACAUAUCAACGAAGUGACGUAACUUUAAUUGUGUCCAUUAUCAUCUUCCACGAGGCCCUCGAGACAGGUCGGCGAAAAUCGGGUUCCUCUCGCGGCGGAAAAAUAAUGAAAAUUCGAUCGGCCCACCCGAGUCUAUAAAAAUCCUCGACCAGCCCUUGUAAAUAAACAUCCAAAGGGAAGUGGAGGAGAAGGGACCGAGUAUUCCUGAAAUUUAGAUGGCUACGGAUCGAUCCUCGGAAAUCGGAUCACUCCUCGAUCGAUGGAUCGAUCGAUCCGCCCAGCGUGUCGCGGGGGUCGCGGGGCCAUAUCACGCGCACUGUAAACUUAUGUCGAAUGAGUUGACGACGAUUCGUUUGGAAAGGUUUUCGCGUAAAUUCCGUAUUUUUCUAAUAAUUUAGCCAUCGCAGAACGGCGCUCGCGACGUCGCGACUUCUCGCGUCUUCUUGGACGGUCGACGUCGCCGCGAGGUCGAGUCCUUUCUUUCUAGAUUAUCAGAGCUAAUUGUAUCUAUGAGUUACCAAAUAAACGAGCGGUUAGACAUUUCUCGGCGUUACAUUUCCGCGGAAUCGUCGAGUCCCUAUUUUAUAAGCCAGAGAAAAUUCAACCGUCCCCCCGGUACC
Molecule: unclassified non-coding RNA, 4108 nt
Filed under: Orussus abietinus
Lineage: Eukaryota; Metazoa; Arthropoda; Insecta; Hymenoptera; Orussidae
Description: beta-1-syntrophin, transcript variant X2
Source: RNAcentral